Long non-coding RNA from Lolium rigidum, 675 nucleotides. RefSeq lists it as uncharacterized. The record is from RefSeq and is a predicted model, not a curated record. The transcript is spliced from 3 exons. Lineage: Eukaryota; Viridiplantae; Streptophyta; Magnoliopsida; Poales; Poaceae.
UUAAUGUCUAACAACCGGCAGAGCCUUCAGAAAUAUGACAGGCUUUAUGGCUUAUGGACUGCAGGAUAAACACAUGAAAAUCUCAUACAUGAUUCUGCAGGUUCAGUUGUACACAACUAAGGAACUAUAUCAUCAAGUGGAUCAAGACAACACUGAAUUAGUUAGAGCUAACGUUAUCGUCAGGAAGCAUACCAUCUUUCUUCCAAAUGUUCUCCACUACUAUGCAUGGAUGCUGCACUGGAGUACCCUGAUCUGUUUUGAGAUGGUCCGUACGAGCAUGCUUGAAGCCCACUGAAAAGAAAAUGUGAAAAUAUCUCAGGAGGGAGAGCAUGCUUGAAUGUUGCUUGGGGUGAGGGAUUUUCCUACAAGUUCAAUAUGUCCAAAGUGAAGAAAAAAGAGAAGUGACGAAUGAGCCAACGUACGCUUUCAGGUGAUGCAUAAAGGUGUUCCGAAAAACAAAAUUCAAGUGUAUGAUAUAAGAUUUCUGUCACGCAUCAAAUUACUUUGUCAGUAUUGUUUUCUGUGUUGACAAAAACGUCUCAGAACCUGCAACUCACAAUGCUUGUGUCAUAGUAUAUUUUUAGGUUAAGACUUAUUUCAUGAAAAAUGGAAGUGAUCUGGGCAACCAGAAAAUGUUGAUUACUAUUCUUAAAGAUCAUUUCUGAUCAUUUUACC